This 320-nucleotide unclassified non-coding RNA is filed under the name Hevea brasiliensis (rubber tree). Lineage: Eukaryota; Viridiplantae; Streptophyta; Magnoliopsida; Malpighiales; Euphorbiaceae. The record is from RNAcentral.
AUUUUUUUUUUUUUUUUUCCUUGAAUUUAGUGUAUAGGUUUGUGAGAUUUCAUUUCCAAUUUAGAGAGGGACAACAUACACAAUGGGUGAGGUUGUGAAGGAGGGGAAUUUGUAGUGUUAUUGAGUUGCUCUAGAUUGUUUUGUCCCUUUUCAAUGUUUAUGAUUACAUUGAUUCCUGAUAUUAUUUUAAGCCACUCGAUUUUAUAAUAUCGUGGCCUUGUUUGGUUUGGUUAGCAGAAUAACUAUUUGGGACAAGGUAUUUAAGCUCUAUAUAAUACUAUGUUUGGUAACGUCUUUCCCUUUUUGGAGUAAAAUUAGAC